GAACGCUGGCGGCGUGCUUAACACAUGCAAGUCGAACGAAGCGCUUAAACGGAUUUCUUCGGAUUGAAGUUUUUGCGACUGAGUGGCGGACGGGUGAGUAACGCGUGGGUAACCUGCCUCAUACAGGGGGAUAACAGUUAGAAAUGACUGCUAAUACCGCAUAAGCGCACAGUGCUGCAUGGCACAGUGUGAAAAACUCCGGUGGUAUGAGAUGGACCCGCGUCUGAUUAGCUAGUUGGUGGGGUAACGGCCUACCAAGGCGACGAUCAGUAGCCGGCCUGAGAGGGUGAACGGCCACAUUGGGACUGAGACACGGCCCAAACUCCUACGGGAGGCAGCAGUGGGGAAUAUUGCACAAUGGGGGAAACCCUGAUGCAGCGACGCCGCGUGAGCGAAGAAGUAUUUCGGUAUGUAAAGCUCUAUCAGCAGGGAAGAAAAUGACGGUACCUGACUAAGAAGCACCGGCUAAAUACGUGCCAGCAGCCGCGGUAAUACGUAUGGUGCAAGCGUUAUCCGGAUUUACUGGGUGUAAAGGGAGCGUAGACGGUUGUGUAAGUCUGAUGUGAAAGCCCGGGGCUCAACCCCGGGACUGCAUUGGAAACUAUGUAAGUAGAGUGUCGGAGAGGUAAGCGGAAUUCCUAGUGUAGCGGUGAAAUGCGUAGAUAUUAGGAGGAACACCAGUGGCGAAGGCGGCUUACUGGACGAUCACUGACGUUGAGGCUC
RNAcentral lists this ribosomal RNA (723 nucleotides) under uncultured organism. RNAcentral describes it as "SSU rRNA". It matches the Rfam family "Bacterial small subunit ribosomal RNA", at positions 31 to 754 of the family's 1533-position model. The record is from RNAcentral.